AGCGAACGCUGGCGGCAUGCUUAACACAUGCAAGUCGCACGAAGGUUUCGGCCUUAGUGGCGGACGGGUGAGUAACGCGUAGGUAUCUAUCCAUGGGUGGGGGAUAACACUGGGAAACUGGUGCUAAUACCGCAUGACACCUGAGGGUCAAAGGCGUAAGUCGCCUGUGGAGGAGCCUGCGUUUGAUUAGCUAGUUGGUGAGAUAAAGGCUCACCAAGGCAAUGAUGCGUAGCCGACCUGAGAGGGUAAUCGGCCACAUUGGGACUGAGA
This 270-nucleotide ribosomal RNA is filed under the name uncultured bacterium. RNAcentral describes it as "partial 16S ribosomal RNA". It matches the Rfam family "Bacterial small subunit ribosomal RNA", at positions 29 to 324 of the family's 1533-position model. The record is from RNAcentral.